Molecule: long non-coding RNA, 739 nt
Filed under: Oncorhynchus kisutch (coho salmon)
Lineage: Eukaryota; Metazoa; Chordata; Actinopteri; Salmoniformes; Salmonidae
Description: lncRNA (ENSOKIG00005014301.1)
Source: RNAcentral
CCAGAGAAAGUAGAGAAAGGAGUAUCUCUGGCUGUACAUUAAGCCUCUGGUCGUCACUAGUUACCACAACCACAAAGUCAUAAUUAUGGCUACACCUCGCCCAUUACUAACAUUUUUCUUCUUAAAAUCUGAUUUGAAACCUAACCUUAACCACACUGCUAACCUUACGCCUAACCGUAAAUUUAGCCCAAAAGUCGAAUUUUUACGAUAUCGUCCAUUUUCGACUCGGUAGCUGUGGUAACUAGUGGAAACGCUAAACCUCCUGCAUCCUUCCAGAUUUUACAGCUCGACGGAAGUGACCUAUUUUUGUUUUGGCUUUGUGAUUGGUGUAUUUUGAUGCAGUUUACAGUAGUCAUGGCUAGAAGGCAUCCAUCUUUUGUCAAAUUAACGUCAGAUUUUACAUUUCGUAGCAGCAAUUCCUGCUUGCAGUCUCAUCCACGAGAGUCAUCAUCCGCGGCCCAACAAAGUAUGCCCUACCGUGUAAUUCUCAAGAUAUCCAUCAGAUGGCAGUGCAGGUUUAGCUAUUGGAAAGGAACGCUACCGCUACCUCGCUCUCCAACCAAGAGCUUGCAUAUGUGUCUGCCGGUUAGCUUUCAAGAGUUGUUUACACCGUAAUCAGACCUGCAGCAUAGUUGUACAAGUGGUGGGACCCAACUCACUGGAUGAGAGUCUACUGUACAGCAUCUCCACCCAGACUUGAACAACAAAGACAAAGGGAAGAACAGCUUCUUAUUCAUCA